UCAGAAUUUCAUAGCAGAAUGAUCCACACAGGUCUGCCUGCCCUUGAAAGAAUGCGGAUGGGAACUAUAGGAAAGAGGUGUGAAAAUGGCUCCAGUGUCUGUAAUGUUUGCUCUGAAAGUGUUUGGUGGUUAGUAUAAUCAGUGGGCUUGCAGUUACACUGGGAAACUGUUUCCUCUACUUGUUCUUCCCACUUGCUGACCACGUCUAGUGAUUAGAAAAGGAAAGCAUGAGGCACAACACCAAACUUCUGCUGGAGAAAUUGCACAAACAACCAUACCUGGUGGUUCUGAGUGAAGAGACCCAAUAAGUCAAGAAUGGUGACGCAAACUUCUGUGGCAAU
Long non-coding RNA from Gavialis gangeticus (Gharial), 341 nucleotides. RefSeq lists it as uncharacterized. The transcript has 3 exons. NCBI's taxonomy places the organism in Eukaryota, Metazoa, Chordata, Crocodylia, Gavialidae. The record is from RefSeq and is a predicted model, not a curated record.